Molecule: ribosomal RNA, 292 nt
Filed under: uncultured bacterium
Lineage: Bacteria
Also listed under: 1 other name
Description: partial 16S ribosomal RNA
Source: RNAcentral
GGACUACCCGGGUUUCUAAUCCCGUUUGCUCCCCUGGCUUUCGUGCCUCAGCGUCAGGAAAUGUCCAGAGACUCGCCUUCGCCACUGGUGUUCCACUUGAUAUCUACGCAUUUCACUGCUACACCAAGUAUUCCAGUCUCCCCUCCAUUCCUCUAGUCAAACAGUUUCCAAUGCAGUUCCGCAGUUAAGCUGCGGGAUUUCACAUCAGACUUGUCAAACCGCCUACGCACCCUUUACGCCCAGUGAAUCCGAACAACGCUUGGGACCUCUGUAUUACCGCGGCUGCUGGCAC